Molecule: ribosomal RNA, 495 nt
Filed under: uncultured bacterium
Lineage: Bacteria
Description: partial 16S ribosomal RNA
Rfam family: Bacterial small subunit ribosomal RNA
Source: RNAcentral
GAUGAACGCUGGCGGCGUGCCUAAUACAUGCAAGUCGAGCGAACAGACGAGGAGCUUGCUCCUCUGACGUUAGCGGCGGACGGGUGAGUAACACGUGGAUAACCUACCUAUAAGACUGGGAUAACUUCGGGAAACCGGAGCUAAUACCGGAUAAUAUAUUGAACCGCAUGGUUCAAUAGUGAAAGACGGUUUUGCUGUCACUUAUAGAUGGAUCCGCGCCGCAUUAGCUAGUUGGUAAGGUAACGGCUUACCAAGGCAACGAUGCGUAGCCGACCUGAGAGGGUGAUCGGCCACACUGGAACUGAGACACGGCCCAGACUCCUACGGGAGGCAGCAGUAGGGAAUCUUCCGCAAUGGGCGAAAGCCUGACGGAGCAACGCCGCGUGAGUGAUGAAGGUCUUCGGAUCGUAAAACUCUGUUAUUAGGGAAGAACAAAUGUGUAAGUAACUAUGCACGUCUUGACGGUACCUAAUCAGAAAGCCACGGCUAACUACG